Molecule: ribosomal RNA, 253 nt
Filed under: uncultured bacterium
Lineage: Bacteria
Description: partial 16S ribosomal RNA
Rfam family: Bacterial small subunit ribosomal RNA
Source: RNAcentral
UACGUAGGGUGCAAGCGUUGUCCGGAAUUAUUGGGCGUAAAGAGCUCGUAGGCGGCCUGUUGCGUCCGCUGUGAAAGCCCGGGGCUUAACCCCGGGUCGGCAGUGGAUACGGGCAGGCUAGAGGUAGGUAGGGGAGAAUGGAAUUCCCGGUGUAGCGGUGAAAUGCGUAGAGAUCGGGAGGAACAUCUGUGGCGAAGGCGGCCAUCUGGACCAGCACUGACACUGAGGCACGAAAGCGUGGGGAGCAAACAGG